CCACUACUUAGUAAGAGCUCCUUAACAACUUAAAGCUUUAUCCCUCUGAGUACCAGAAAAGUGAUUUGAGUAGUUAUUGAGCAGGGAGAAUAAACUGCUUGCUACGGGCAGGGAGAAAGCUUAUGGAAAUGAUAUUAGACCUUCAGCAAAGUGCACAGCUGCAUCAUACAGAAGCCGAGACUCAAAUUGACAGGCAAAUAAGCCAGAUCACGGAAGGGGCCUCUGUGUGGCAGCUCUGAGCUCCCAAGUGUUGGACAACUAGGCAAAAAGUGCACUGGAACAGGGCAGAAAAUAGCACACUAACUUCAGGCAACUGUUGCAUUUUCAUGGACAAAAUGGAGGGACAAGUCUUUGUAAAGUGAAUACUUAAGAAAAAUGUGGAGGAGAAAUACCAUUUCAUUCAAUUGAAGAAAUACACCAAGAAGCUCCAAGUACAUUUUGAACUCUCAAAAGGAAUAACACAAAGGUGAGAAAUGAUUGGCUUACUUAGGAGCUCUGUUGUGUGUUUCUAGCAGUGGAUCUCGAUUUCUUUCUGGUAUGUUCAAGAGUGGUAGGAAGGAGGACUUGGUGAAGAAAGAGUGAAGCAAAGACAAGAGGAUAUCAUACGUCCUUUCCGUAAGAUUUUAGCCUCCUCGAUAGCAGACUGUUGAUUUGUACCAAUGCCAUGUCCAGUCUAACGCUGAGCUGAUGACCCUUACCACCUCUUCAUGCUCCUCUUUGAGGAGACAGCAUUUCUUAAGGGCGUUGAAUUGAAACGACUUUAUAGACUUGCUUUUUGUUAUGCAAAUUAACUGCUUGGAUUACUUGACUUUCUGCUGUGUUUAUGGACUCGCCUGUACUUAUAUGAACCGGUUUAAAUAGCUUUGUUAGUUCCUGUGCUUGCAGAAAGAUUUACAAUGGUUGAUCUUUGCUUAUAUUUCCCCUCCACAAUCUCCCAUUUUACGUAGUAUUAGCACUCUGCAAGGAAACAUGAUGUAAGUGGAGAUCAUGCUGUGAAAUUCCUAAGGACUGUGGCAUGGGUAUGCAUGAGUGUGUCGUCUUCUUGCUUAAAGCUAAACGGUACCAUAGCUAUAUUGGAAGUGAUGAUAUUUCUGGUUAAUUCUCUCUCAACUUAUCUGUCUUUGGUUCUUAUUAUGCUUAGCUUCUUCUUUAGCAGGAGAAACAUCUGGUGAAUACCAUAUAAGGAAAAUGCCAAUUUAAGAAAUACUACAAUUAUUGCCUUAAUAAUCUUUUAUGCUUCUAGCAAUAUUAAAACAGUCCAGACUGAUAUUUAAAAUGUCUUAUAUAUAACUUUAAAUAUGCUCCAAGCUUAUAAAUUGAACAGAAACACUUGGUUAACAGAAUGUUUUCCAUCAGAAUUAUAAGUAUUUUUCUCACUUUUGUUUUUUCUUCCUCUGACAUUUUGUGUGCCUCUAGUGCAAGCUUUCCUGCUAAGUGUGUCCCAAAACUAAGUUUUUUUUUGGUUUUGAAGAUACUGGAGCAAAAAUAGUUAUGCUAUAGCUUCUUAUGUUGGAGUCUGAUUUCUCUUCAUCCUUCCAGAUUCAACUUAGAAUACAAUAUGUUUCAAGGAGAUGUUCUGAUAUGUCAUAGAAAGACUGUAGGCCAAUUUAUUUAUCAUGUAGCUAAAGAGGUUUCAUAUUCAGAAUCUGAAAUGGAGACAACCUUAAUUACUAUUUCAAGUGAGAAUGUAAAUACUGUUCUCCUUUGUGCAACAUAAGAACUUAAGGAAAUUUUCAAAAUUAAAUUAGGCAAGGUCUUAAGCAGCACGAACCUUUUAACAAUUUUUUUUCACUAAGGAGACCAUUGCUUUUUUUUCUGUCUUAGAGUAACUUCUAUUAAUUUUAUUUUAGUAUGUCUCACUGACUUUGACAUGCAAUUCUACAAAAAGAAAUACGAGGAGUUUUUUGUGUUCAUUGUCAGAGUAGAUAUGGGGUAUUUUAAUAUUCAAAUUAAUUUUGCCCUAAUAACCUCAUAACUAUACUCUAAGAAGAAAAUGAAACAAAUGCAAAGUAUUAUCAUUGUCUUCUCAAAAACAGAGAUAUUGAAGAAAUGUAGAAAUGUUUCAUUCCUAAACAACAUGGUUAGGUGAUUUAAAUCCAAGGACUUGAAGGUAAAUGUGAGUGCCAUAUUUGGCCUGUGAAUUAAUGAUUUAAUGUCACUCUGUUAGCCCUUGUGGGCACAAUUGUAUUGAAAAUUCAGGUGAUCUCAGUCCCACUAUCGUUUAAAUGAGCCUCAAACUGACAUGUUCUACUAGAUCGCAAAAUAGAAACCAUACGAAAUUAACAGACCUUCAGUCUAACUUAAUAAAACACAUACUUUUCUAACUUGCUCUUAUUGCCUUCCUUUUCUAGACCUUUAGGGAUUUUCCACUGCAUAUCUGGAAAAAAAGUUACAGUUUAAACACUGAGUCUACAGGAUGAAUGGUAAGAGGUAGCUAUACUAGCAGGCCAUUAUUACUCAAUUAGUACCAAGACAAUGACUUGCAUGAAGCAAGUGGAAUUCUAGUUUCUCUGCUUGGAAAUUUCAGGCUUUAGGUCAGUAUGCAUAAGAAACAACAAUUUUUUUGAAGAGUCAUAUGAAAUUGUGCGUACGGUCUUUAAACACUUCUACCACUUAGGGCUUUGUGCUC
This 2629-nucleotide long non-coding RNA is filed under the name Gallus gallus (chicken). Lineage: Eukaryota; Metazoa; Chordata; Aves; Galliformes; Phasianidae. The record is from RNAcentral.